UGCCAGUGUGAUGGAAUUGGUAGACAUGACGGAUUCAAAAUCCGUUGCCUUCGGGCGUGGCGGUUCAAGUCCGCCCACUGGUA
RNAcentral lists this transfer RNA (83 nucleotides) under Pseudoalteromonas peptidolytica. Its description in RNAcentral is "tRNA-Leu". It matches the Rfam family "tRNA". Rfam says of the family: Transfer RNA (tRNA) molecules are approximately 80 nucleotides in length. Lineage: Bacteria; Pseudomonadati; Pseudomonadota; Gammaproteobacteria; Alteromonadales; Pseudoalteromonadaceae. The record is from RNAcentral.